Molecule: long non-coding RNA, 1720 nt
Organism: Orcinus orca (killer whale)
Lineage: Eukaryota; Metazoa; Chordata; Mammalia; Artiodactyla; Delphinidae
Exons: 4
Source: RefSeq, a predicted model, not a curated record
UACACUUCCCAGAGGCCUCUGCGCAAAGAGAGGGGCCGGGCAGCGGCUCGCUUCCCCCGCCUCCACAGUGCGGGAUGUUUUAAUCACAGAGGUGUCGCCUUCCUGGCGCUCGCCAAGGUCCCCACGCACCCGGAACAGCCCCCAUCUAAUCAGCCGGGAAGAAAUAAGCGCAGCAAGACACUCUAGGAAAGUCGAUUUCCAAGAGAGGAAUCUUCCAUUCUUCCUCCCAGAGGAUGUAAGCUGAUCUACCAUCAUUCUGGCUGCUGGGCAGGGAAAGUGAGUGAGGCGUUCGCCACCCACCUCCAGAAGGAAAUUCUCCUUGGACUGAUACUGAGGGCCCAAAUGCUCUGGCUUGAUUAGACUUCCUGAAAAGCCCUGUGGAGUUGGGUCCUGAGCCAGACACAUCCGUCCUCAGGUUCUGGAGACCCAUCGUCUGAGAUGUCAGAGUUUUCUCCAGGAUUGCAAGCUCCAGGAAGGCUGAGUUUGUGCUGCAUUUUAUUCACCGUUGUAUCCCCAGCACCCAGUACAGUGCUUGCCAGUUGCAGGUAAUCAGUGAAUGUCCUUUCAACGUAUGUGUUCGAUUGUAAGCAUCGAUCUCCUUAGGUAUCCACCCAAGAUAAAUGAAAACAUAUGUCCACACAAAGACUUGCAUGUAAAUGUUCAUAGCACCGUUAUUCAUAAUAGCCCCAAAGUGGAAACAAUCCAAAUGUCCAUUAGUUGGCGAGUGGAUAAGUAUUGUAAAAAGAUGGCAUUAUCCAUACAAUGGAGGACUCUGCAGUGAUAAAAAGGAAUAAACAGAUAAUAUAUUCUACAACGUGGAUGAACCACCAAGAUGUUGCAUUAAGUGAAAUAAGCCAGACACAAAUGACUGCAUAUUGCACUGUUCUGUAAGGAUGAAAUUUCUAGAAAAGGCAAAACUAUAGAGAAGAAAGCAGAUCAAUGGUUGCCUGGGCCUGGGAGUGGGAGUGGGGAGUGACUGCAGACAGGAAGGAGGGAGCUCCUGGGGGAGGUGGAAAUUUUCUAAAACUGGAUUGUGGUAAAGGUCGCACCACUGUAUAAAUUUACUAAAAAUCAUUAAACUGUACACUUGCAGUAGGUGUGGGGUACGGUAUGCAAAUUAUCUUCAAUAAAGCUGUUAAAAAUGUUUAAAAAAUCAGUCUCCUUACUUAGUCAUUUUAUCCCAUCUUAUGUUCUGGGAAUACUAUUUCUGUGGGACAUUGUGCCAGAGACUGCUAAGUGAGUCUCUCAACUCUUUAGUGACAGAAUCUCAAUUUUUUAAAUUGAAUUAUAGUUGAUUUACAAUAUUGUGCUAGUUUCAGGUGCACAGCAAAGUGAUUCAGAUAUAUAUAUAUAUAUAUAUAUAUAUAUAUAUAUACUUUUUCAGAUUCUUUUCCAUUAUAGGUUAUUACAAGAUGUUGAAUAUAGUUCCCUGUGCUGUACAGUAGGUCCUUGCUGUUUAUCUAUUUUAUAGAUAGUAGUGUGUAUCUGUUAGUCCCGUACUCCUAAUUUAUCCCUUCCCCUGCUUCCCCCUUUGGUAACCAUAAGUUUGUUUUCUAUGUCUGUGAAUCUGUUUCUAUUUUGUAAAUAAGUUCAUUUGUAUUAUUUUUUAGAUUACACAUAUAAGUAAUAUAUAAUUGUCUUUGUCUGACUGACUUCACUUAGCAUGAUAAUCUCUAGGUCCAUCCAUGUUGUUACAAAUGACAAUAUUUCAUUCUUUUUU